UAACCCUGAUUCUUGGAAAACAGCUGAGGGU
RNAcentral lists this non-coding RNA (31 nucleotides) under Rattus norvegicus (Norway rat). Lineage: Eukaryota; Metazoa; Chordata; Mammalia; Rodentia; Muridae. The record is from RNAcentral.